UACAGAGGUCCCAAGCGUUGUUCGGAUUCACUGGGCGUAAAGGGUGCGUAGGUGGCUUGGUAAGUUCGAUGUGAAAUCUCCGGGCUUAACCCAGAAAUGGCAUUGAAUACUAUUGAGCUGGAGGUUUGGAGGGGGGACUGGAAUUCUCGGUGUAGCGGUGAAAUGCGUAGAUAUCGAGAGGAACACCUGCGGCGAAGGCGGGUUGCUGGGCUGACACUGACGCUGACAGCGCGAAAGCUAGGGGAGCGAACGGG
Molecule: ribosomal RNA, 254 nt
Filed under: uncultured bacterium
Lineage: Bacteria
Description: partial 16S ribosomal RNA
Rfam family: Bacterial small subunit ribosomal RNA
Source: RNAcentral